Long non-coding RNA from Spinacia oleracea (spinach), 2597 nucleotides. RefSeq lists it as uncharacterized. The transcript is spliced from 8 exons. Lineage: Eukaryota; Viridiplantae; Streptophyta; Magnoliopsida; Caryophyllales; Amaranthaceae. The record is from RefSeq and is a predicted model, not a curated record.
UUAAGAGAUAUGUGACCUUAAGACUGCCUCUCUUGGGGUCUCUUAAGGAGCUUUUAGGUGGUUUUUUUGGCUUUAUUGAGGUAGUGCUUUUUCGUGGGUGUUACCUUCACCAAUUAGUGAUUUUAAUCCAUAACAUUCUUAUAAUGUUAGUUAUGCGUUGCACAUCGAUUGGGCAGAGAAGUGCAUGUGGUUAAGCAAAUACAUCGCGAGCAAGAGAAAAAAGUGGAAGACACUACUUUAUAUGUUUUAUUACUUUACUUUGGUACUAAGAUUUAGAUUUUUCGUCAUGUAAUGGUAUGAGUAUUAAACUGUUUCACUAUUUAGAUUGCAAGAUUGACGUAAUGUAUGUCUCAUUCUUUUUAAAUAUGAACUUUGCGAAUGAUUUUUUAAUGUUUAAUAUUUGUCCUAAUUAGUUAUAGCAACACAAUUUGAAUUUUUUUCAAUAAUUUCGCACGCAUCACGUGCAUAUAAGACUAGUAGUAAUCUCUAUUAUAUAAAGGAACAGCUGAGGGUAUUUUGGUAACUCAACUUUUCGUGUCCCCAAGCAAAAAGACGAAAAUACCCCUCAUUGGUUGUUUAUCGGGGCUUGCUGAGCCUUCGUUUCUAGGGCGAGGUUUCGUUUAUCCCAUCUCUCUCCUCUCACCUGCCCCUCUCUCUCUCUCCCUCUCACUUUUCUCUCUCCUCUCACCUUCGUUUCUAGGUUAGACUUCCUAGGUUACACUUCCUCGCCGUCGUCCCUCUUUAAUGGCGACUCUGAGGUCAAUCGGAGGGAAAUGCAGAGCUCUAUUGGCGGCAGCAAAUUCCUUCACCACCGCAUCAACGACCGCUACUGGUGCUGCAAAAAGAUCGAAGCCUCCUUUCUGCAAAAAUAAUAGAGGUAUUUUGGUCUCUCCCACCCUCAGCGACUUGGAACUACAUCAAGCUUCAUAAUCUUCAGGGAAGAAAUGUACGACAUUUUCGGGAAUUAGGGAUCAAUUCGCCAAAUUCGUGAAAAAUACUCAGAAGAUCACCACCUGAAGAAUAAGAUCGAGCUCCUUAGCACACCGAUGAUGUCCUCAAGGUUUAACACUUUCAAAAGAAUCUGGAACUGAAGCAAAGCCAGAUCGGUAUAGCAGCCUCAAUGACUGCAAAUUAGAGGAUUGUCCAUGUGUGAACGGAAUCUGCCAGUGUCAUUAAAUGAGGGUGGCAGAAGAAGCUUAUUCAAAGAUACCAGCUCAACUAAAUGACAAUGCCAGACUUCAAUGUUAUGGAGACUGUAAAUGCAAACAAACUGAAGUUCAAGUAUGAUGCAGCAUAAAUCGCACAUCAGUGCUGGCGUGACAUUGUUGGAAAAAUGCAUGGACAACCUAGAAACCCUUCAAAGCCCGAAGAUGAAGCCGCUUCUGCUGCCAAAACCGCUCAAUAACGCACUCUUCAAUCCCAAUUUAUCAACUAUCAUCACAAUCUAAAUUACGCCAAAGAAGCUGUAGAAAUCAGCGCAAAGCUUCUUGAGAUUAAUCCAGAAUUCUCCACUGCCUGGAACUAUUGGAAACUUGCUGUUGAGCAUUUUCUGAUCCUGUCUCUAUUUUGAAUGAGGAACUCCGCGUUAAAGAAGAAAAUAUCGAGUGGACUGAGACGAUGUCUCAGAGCUUUAAGUUGAUGGACAACGAGGUAGGAGAGAGAUCAAAGAACAACGCCGGCCCUACGACGUCAAUGAGCUGUCGUGAGUAUCAAACACCUCAGUGCGACGCCGUGGGAUCUACCACCGUUGUCUCUGCUGUAACCCCGGAGAAAAUCGUCGUAUCUAAUUACGGCGAUUCACGCAAUGUCCUUUGCCGUAAAGGCGUCGCAAUUCCUCUAUCUUCCGAUCAUAAGGUCAAAGUUGAAGGAUGAUUCUGUUAUAUUUUUUUGAGAGAAUAUCAUGUGAGGAAUCGGAAAAAGUUGAGGCGAUUAGCUUCGACAAGAGCAGUGAUACGACACCCUGUCAACUCAUCGCUCGAUGCUUAUGGUUUUUGUUGUUGCUCAAUACCGUGAGACAGCAGCAGAACACUGCAGCAAUAGAGUGAAUCAAAUUCAUAGGAUUCAGUCAAGAGAAACCAAGGACAGGUUAGGAAAGUAGCAGUUGCUGUGUUCUGCUGCAGUGUUCUGCUGAUGUCUUAGCAUAAAGGCAUAUCCAAUGCAGCUCCUGCUGAUAAUCCAUUUUGUUCUUACCUAUACUUACAUCUCAUUCUGAGAUUGAAGUGGUCAUGGAUAUCAAAGAACCCAUGAUUCAUGAUUAUAUUGCCAAUCUUCGGUUCUCUAUAUCACCUACUACAUUCUUUCAGGUUAAAUUUGAGCUGCAAAGAAGACAUAUUCUUUUGCAGGAGACUGGCUGGUCUAAAUCUAGAUACUUUACUUUUUGAUAUAUGUUGUUGGACUGGCACAAUAUUACCAUAAUGUUGUUGGACUUCUUUUAUAUGUUGUUGGACUUCUUUUAUUUUUUGGACCCUUCUUUUAUAUGUUGUUGGACUUCUUUUAUUUUUUUGUUCCAAUAUCAUAAUGUUAGAAUGAAAGAAAUUGCUUGAUAGCCAAUGCUAUUAGAAUAUGUAUUUAGUUGUAUUUAGUUGAGAUUAUGAGAU